ACUACUAUCCAUUUAGAUGAUUCGCAUUUCAAUUAUUCCGCGACUGGUUUUAGAAGAACGUUUCGUAGUUUACGAUCAUAUUUACGUUUUAAUCAUAUCGUGCGUUGUAAUUUAUUUGUGCAACGUCGUCCUAUGACAUUAUUAGUACUUAGUGCAUGAGUUGUAUUGAUCUAUUUGUGUCUCUCUUGGAGUGAACUAGACAAGAUUUGUCGCACCAUCAGUCUCAAGCGUCUCAAUUAAAAUUGCGCUACUUUGUUAUUGAGCUUUGUUGAACCGUUUCAUCAUCUCUUACAAUACAAUUCGCAGUAAUUAAGAUGACUGAUCAAACGGGCAAUUUUUUAGUGAUCAAUGAUCUGAGACCCGCUGUUCGCAUAAAAUUGGGCACAGAGGGUUAUUGAAAAUGAAAGUGGUAAAACGGACAUUAUAGUUGAAAGAAAAGGCGAUUAUUGAAUUGUUGAUAUGGGCGAAGAAACAAAUUUUUAAAUUCUGAGGGUACAACCGACGUUGGAGUACAAGCUACACUGACAACGAAUUGAGAAUCAAUUCUAAAUGAGAUAAAAGUUGUCUUGCACGAACGAGAUCAGCGAAAGAUGAGGGAUCAUCAACUUCAUCGGGAAGCAAUGAAUUAUCCCAGAGAGGAACAAAGCCCAUUUCUCCACUAGAAGUUAAACAAGCACAGUGUCUCGCGGGUAAACGGGAAACGAAACUUCAAAUACCACCGGAGGACGUCGUAAAUGGCACUUGUAA
This is a long non-coding RNA of Frieseomelitta varia, 747 nucleotides long. RefSeq lists it as uncharacterized. Lineage: Eukaryota; Metazoa; Arthropoda; Insecta; Hymenoptera; Apidae. The record is from RefSeq and is a predicted model, not a curated record. The transcript has 3 exons.